Dreissena polymorpha is the source of this 449-nucleotide long non-coding RNA. RefSeq lists it as uncharacterized. Lineage: Eukaryota; Metazoa; Mollusca; Bivalvia; Myida; Dreissenidae. The transcript has 3 exons. The record is from RefSeq and is a predicted model, not a curated record.
AGGCUGCAACACGGUAUUCUCGCGGUACUAAACUUAUCUAUCUAUCUAUCUAUCUUCCAUUAAGGUCGAACCCCUUUUGAGGACAUAGACCUGUCGCGCGUCGACCGACAAGAGUUGGGCUUUCAGUAAAUCUUUCUUUGCACCUGUAUCCUCACCAAGAACUUGCAGCUGGUGGUACGAAACUUGCAUGCACACAGACUUUGAUUCGCCCGCCGGCAAAAUCGGUCACCAGGGUGUGGUUGGCUCAAGGUCCCGGAUCCAGAAGUGAGAGUUGAGUGUCAGGUGAAGAGUUCAAGCUUGGACACAAAAUCAAACGUAAAGAAAGUUGUACCGUUAACUUCAAACUUCAACGGACUUCGGUAAUGCCGGUACACUGUAUUCUUACACCAUUUUCUGCCUAAAUAAUGCAGUAAGGUUUUCUGAUUGCAGUUUUCUACGGCAUAAUUGUU